UUAUGGCCAUAUCACAUUGAAAUAUCAGUUCUCCUAUGAUCACUGAAAUUAAGCAACAUUAAGCCUAAUCAGUACCUAGAUGAGUAACCAUUUGGGAAUACCAGGUGCUGUA
Molecule: non-coding RNA, 112 nt
Organism: Acanthosepion pharaonis
Lineage: Eukaryota; Metazoa; Mollusca; Cephalopoda; Sepiida; Sepiidae
Source: the annotation of a GenBank genome assembly